RNAcentral lists this ribosomal RNA (406 nucleotides) under uncultured bacterium. RNAcentral describes it as "partial 16S ribosomal RNA". It matches the Rfam family "Bacterial small subunit ribosomal RNA", at positions 30 to 526 of the family's 1533-position model. The record is from RNAcentral.
AUUGAACGCUGGCGGCAGGCCUAACACAUGCAAGUCGAACGAUUGGCGGACUGGUUAGUAAUGUCUGGGAAACUGCCCGAUGGAGGGGGAUAACUACUGGAAACGGUCGCUAAUACCGCAUACCAUCGGAUGUGCCCAGAUGGGAUUAGCGAGUAGGUGGGGUAACGGCUCACCUAGGCGACGAUCCCUAGCUGGUCUGAGAGGAUGACCAGCCACACUGGAACUGAGACACGGUACAGACUCCUACGGGAGGAAGCAGUGGGGAAUAUUGCACAAUGGGCGCAAGCCUGAUGCAGUAAUGCCGCGUGUAUGAAGAAGGCCUUCGGGUUGUAAAGUACUUUCAGCGAGGAGGCGUUACUCGCAGAAGAAGCACGGGCUAACUCCGUGCCAGCAGCCGCGGUAAGUC